GCAUAUCAAUAAGCGGAGGAAAAGAAACCAACAGGGAUUGCCUUAGUAACGGCGAGUGAAGCGGCAAAAGCUCAAAUUUGAAAUCGGCCACCAGGUCGAGUUGUAAUUUGUAGAUUGUAUCUUGAGAGCGGAUUAAAGUCUGUUGGAACACAGCGCCUUAGAGGGUGACAGCCCCGUAAAAUCUAUUCUCAUUGUAAGAUACUUUCGAAGAGUCGAGUUGUUUGGGAAUGCAGCUCUAAGUGGGUGGUAAAUUCCAUCUAAAGCUAAAUAUUGGCGAGAGACCGAUAGCGAACAAGUACAGUGAUGGAAAGAUGAAAAGAACUUUGAAAAGAGAGUGAAAAAGUACGUGAAAUUGUUGAAAGGGAAGGGCAUUAGAUCAGACUUGGUGUUUUACGAUUAUCUUCUCUUCUUGAGUUGUGCACUCGUAUUUCACUGGGCCAGCAUCGAUUCGGAUGGCAAGAUAAUGGCAGUUGAAUGUGGCUUCACUUCGGUGGAGUGUUAUAGCUUCUGCUGAUAUUGCCUGUCUGGAUCGAGGGCUGCGUCUUUUGACUAGGAUGCUGGCGUAAUGAUCUAAUGCCGCCCGUCUUGAAACACGGACC
RNAcentral lists this ribosomal RNA (599 nucleotides) under uncultured fungus. RNAcentral describes it as "LSU rRNA". It matches the Rfam family "Eukaryotic large subunit ribosomal RNA", at positions 38 to 667 of the family's 3401-position model. The record is from RNAcentral. Lineage: Eukaryota; Fungi.